Molecule: ribosomal RNA, 1053 nt
Filed under: Triticum aestivum (bread wheat)
Lineage: Eukaryota; Viridiplantae; Streptophyta; Magnoliopsida; Poales; Poaceae
Description: partial small subunit ribosomal RNA
Source: RNAcentral
AUGGCCGGCGCCGCCGGUUCCGCGCGGAAGGUAUCGGCCGUGCUGUACCACUACCCGUGCCCGGACGGCGCAUUCGCCGCGCUCGCCGCCCACCUCUACUUCUCCGCCGCCGCCCUCCCCGUCCGCUUCUUCCCCAACACCGUCUAUGACCCCAUCAGGAGCGAUGGUCUUCCGUUUGAUGAAAUCGAAGACGUUUACCUUCUUGACUUCGUAGGGCCUCCUGGUUUUGUUGCUGAUAUAGCCCCGAAAGUUCAGAGUGUAACAAUCUUAGACCAUCAUAAGACUGCCAUGGAAAGUCUGUGUGGGAGUGCCACACUUGGAGAAAACGUGAAUAAGGUGAUUGACAUGCAACGCAGUGGAGCAACAAUUGCAUUCGACUACUUUAGGAACAAGUUAUUAACAGAAGCUAGUACUUCACGGAAUCAUGGAAGUGGUAAUUCUGUAACUGAAAUGAAAUAUCUACCUGAAAACAAGCUUGAAAUGGUGCACAAGCUUUUCAAGUUUAUUGAGGAUGGAGAUCUGUGGAGAUGGACUAUUCCGAAUAGCAAGGCCUUCAGCAGUGGCCUCAAAGAUCUGAACAUUGAAUUUAAUGUCAAUUCAAAUGGGAAGUUAUUUGAUCAGUUGCUGGAGUUGGAUCCCGAGCAAGUCAUUUCUCGGGGACAAGUAACAUUAUCGCAGAAGCAAACAUUAAUUGAUGAUUGUUUGCAGAAGUCCUUUGAAAUUGCACUAGGAUGUGGCCAGUUUGGGAAUUGUCUGGCUGUCAAUGCUGAUGCUAUUUCAAUGCUGAGAAGCGAACUCGGAAAUCAGCUCGCUAACAAGAGUCGGAAUUCCAAUCUGAGAGCUAUUGGCGCUGUAGUAUAUAAAGUCCCCAAGUUGAAUAACGACGAGAUGCUAAAAAUCAGCCUGAGAAGUUUGGGACAAGAAGACACGACUUCUAUCUCCCAGGAAUUCGGAGGUGGGGGGCAUCGAAACGCAAGCUCAUUUCUGUUGAGUGUUGCAGAAUUUGAGAAGUGGAAGGUUGGAGCUGAGCCUUCCAAUGCAGAAACUGCCUAG